CUAACAAGGAUUCCCCUAGUAACGGCGAGUGAAGCGGGAAGAGCACAAAUUUUAAAUCUACCUGGUUCUACCAGGUCGAGUUGUAAUUUGAAGAAACGUUUUUAAUGUUCCGGGUUGGUUUAAAUCCUUUGGGAUAAGGUAUCAUGGAGGGUGAGAAUCCCGUGUAUAUCAACCGCUGGGAUGUUAUUAAUACGUUCUCUAAGAGCCGAGUUGUUUGGGAAUGCAGCUCUAAAUGGGUGGUAAAUUUCACCUAAUGCUAAAUAUAAGCGAGAGACCGAUAGCGAACAAGUACCGUGAGGGAAAGAUGAAAAGAACUUUGAAAAGAGAGUUAAAUAGUACGUGAAAUUGUUGAAAGGGAAACGAUUGAAGUCAGUCAUGCCGGUGAGAAUCAACUUGAGGAAGGGGGAUUUUUUUGAACCUAACCUUGAAGUGCACUUCUUCGCUUGGCAGGUUAGCGUCGAUUUUGAACGUCAUAAAAUGAUUGGGGGAAGGUAGCUCUUUCGGGAGUGUUAUAGCCCUUAAUUAAUGUGAUAUUUGGGAUCGAGGAUUGCAACGGAUACCUUUUAGGCUAGCCGCCUGGCCUCUGAUUCGAUGUUGGGUUAUAGACAGCACGCUGACUAUGAUCUGAUUAUUGGUCAAAAGGUUAGAGCGAGCAUAAAUUCGUUAAGGACGC
RNAcentral lists this ribosomal RNA (673 nucleotides) under Scutellospora calospora. RNAcentral's name for it is "eukaryotic LSU rRNA". It matches the Rfam family "Eukaryotic large subunit ribosomal RNA", at positions 65 to 626 of the family's 3401-position model. Lineage: Eukaryota; Fungi; Glomeromycota; Glomeromycetes; Diversisporales; Gigasporaceae. The record is from RNAcentral.